AGUGUUUGCAUGUGUGCGAAUGUGUCUCUGUCAAUGUGUGUGUAUGUGUGUACGUGCGUGUGAGGAAGUUACAGUUUAAUGUUGGUUAGUCUCAAUUGUCGACGACGAGGCUUUGCGGCUGAUUGAUGCCAGAGUUGUUGUUGUUGCCAGCUACUUUGGACAAACAAAUCUUGCAGUAUGAACUGGAGAAACAAUUAGAUUUUGAAUUGGAAAAAAGGUAC
This 221-nucleotide small RNA is filed under the name Drosophila mojavensis. RNAcentral's name for it is "GI25487". Lineage: Eukaryota; Metazoa; Arthropoda; Insecta; Diptera; Drosophilidae. The record is from RNAcentral.